This 65-nucleotide transfer RNA is filed under the name Hippuris vulgaris. RNAcentral's name for it is "partial tRNA-Leu". Lineage: Eukaryota; Viridiplantae; Streptophyta; Magnoliopsida; Lamiales; Plantaginaceae. The record is from RNAcentral.
AAAAUCCGUCGACUUUAAAAAUCGUGAGGGUUCAAGUCCCUCUAUCCCCAAAAAAAGCCUAUUUG